UGGAAGAGAGAACAUUUCCUUUAAUUUUCUAUAGCAUCUCAUGGGUUACAAGUUACAACUAUAUAAGAAGGCGGCACAAUCACUGUUACAAUAAUGGCUAUUAAAUUAUGCGAAAAAAAAAAAAAUUGCUUGCAUACAAUUAUUAAGGACGUGGUAGGAACUUUAUAAUGUCUAUUUAUGCUACACAAUGACAAUGCUACUCAAACUGAUAAUCCAGCUAAAAAUGCCACUCCAGUAGAAGGCAACCAUGAUGAUCCAUAAAUAAACUCUGCUACUGUGAAUUUACUUGCCUCAGUAGUUGAUGUGAUGACCCUAUACCCGGGCCAUUUUACCCGUUGCCCGACUGCCCCUCCCGGCCCGAAAUUCAUGUACUCACCAUAGUACAGCGUAUCAAGUGCAAAUGUUGCAUUCCAUUCUAGCCAACCUCUUGGAUGAAUGUGAUCACCCAUGUAUGUUAACAUGUAGACAGUUCUUGAGUAGAGUUUCCAUGGACGGCCUAGAUAUGUUGGGAAGCUACCAUUGGCCGCCUCGAGCUCUGGCGUGGCAUAGAGCUUACAGGCAUGGAUAGAUAUGCCUGUAUUUUGGUUAGGGUCUUUACGAUUCUGGGCAGUGAUGGUGUUUUUCUGUAAAGCCAUAGGCUUACGAGCGUAAAUGCUGCAAUUUUGAAACACUACAGCCGCAUUACCAAAUAUGAAAUCAACCGUACCAUAAAUGCCACAUUCCCGGUAAAAUUGGCGAUUCGAGUGCACAUAGAGAGUGUCUUGAUAUCCAAAGACGUUGCAACGAUAGACCACAGCAUGGUCAGCACCAACCCGGAGAGCCACAGCUUGGUGCUUGGAUGGACCAGCUGAGUUCUCAAAUGUCAUGUCACGAGCAAUGAAACCAGCUCCGGUGGCAGCGAAUGAGGCAGUGUGGAAUGUCGUUACAUUAUCGUAAACGCUUUUGCUUCCUGAAAUCACCGUUUUACCCCUUCCAUCUCCUAUGAACAUCAAAUUCCUCUUCUUCCUUCCCACUUUCAAGUUAUUCUCUUCGUAUCUUCCUGCCCUCACGUAAAUUAUUGUUCGCCGAUUGUUGUACUCCGGUGCCUUCUUAAUCGCCUCCGUGAUCGUCUUGUACGUUCCGUUCCCGUCUUUCGAAACGAUUAUAUCGGCCUGUAUAGCCGACACCGGCAUGUUCAAUAGUCUCCUUUCUUUCCUCCCCAACCAACUCGGAAGAUCAUCGGCAUUUUCCUCCGAGAUUUCGGCGUCCAUCAAUCUCCGCCGGUUCUGUAUCGGAACGCCAAAGAAAUCGUCACUGUCAGUAGCCGAAAAAAUUGCCAAGCAAUUGCUCACUAACUCGGAUAAGUCCCUCAACUUAUCAGACAUCUGAUCCUUUACAGCUCCACUUAAGUCUGUAAAUCCCUCCGUACAUGUGUCCUGAUUAGUCAGCGCGGCGCUGAGCCAAGUAACCACGUCUUCAGUGGACCCGACAGCCUGUACCUGUCCCGCAGUGUUCCCGUCCAUCGACGGCGCGACGAUGGAGAGCGAGCGCGAAAGCGCGUCCACGGAAUCAUCAAGCAGCUCAAGGCAGUCCUCAAAGGCCGACCGUACACGAGUAUCCAUCUGAAGAUAAGAGAUCCCCGAAGAGAGGUACAGAGCUUUGCUAAAGUGCUGCAGAGUCAUAUUGAAAGAAAUGUGGACGAGGUCCUUCUCGGAGGCGGUCUCAGAACCAGGAAAAUCCAGCAACGAGUUAACACAGAGAGUCGGAAAGCGCGUCUUGCUGCAAGUUUUAGAAAUGGCCUUGGUGGGCUUCCUGGCCACAACUGGGCUGGGAUGGCCUGAAGCCCGGGUGCGUAGCCCGAUUAGAAGCGUGGCGGAGACGGCAGAGGCGAUGAUCAAGACGAUGGAGAGGAGGGAAAGGAGGAUUACCUUCCUCUUGCGGGAAGGGUUUGAGGUGGUAUGUUCUGGUGGGUCAAGAGAGCGGGAGGAUCCGCCGGGUUCGGAGGGUCCGAGCCUGCCAUAGUCGAGGGGUUUCAUUUCAGUAGGAGUAAAAGGUAGAGAGAAUGUGAAGGGAGUGGAGACUAGAAUGCGAGUGUGUGCAUAUAUAUAUAUGUAUAUAUAAAGAAGAGUAUGAGAGCGUAGAGGAGGUGGGAUUAUAUAAAUAGAAGAAUGGUGGGCGUAAGGAGUGAAGGUGGAGAAGAGAGGAGAGGGUACUACGAUAGGGGGUGGAAGGAGAAGCAGUAAUGGAGGUUGGUGUAAAGUCUAUAUCGAGAGCCAAAAUAGCUGGCCUCUACUUCUACCACUGCCCAUUGGAUGCAAGUAACGAGUGUGUGAGCAAGCCUAUGCUUGUGCUGCUUUCCUUUUCUUGUUUGUUUGCUUUUUUUUAUUCUUAUUUUUAUUUUUCUCUUCUUAUGUGCUUUGUUUGGAGACAUAAGAUUUUUG
This 2420-nucleotide unclassified non-coding RNA is filed under the name Hevea brasiliensis (rubber tree). Lineage: Eukaryota; Viridiplantae; Streptophyta; Magnoliopsida; Malpighiales; Euphorbiaceae. The record is from RNAcentral.